Molecule: ribosomal RNA, 301 nt
Filed under: uncultured bacterium
Lineage: Bacteria
Description: partial 16S ribosomal RNA
Rfam family: Bacterial small subunit ribosomal RNA
Source: RNAcentral
CAGUAGCCACGGUAAUACAGAGGGUGCGAGCGUUAAUCGGAUUUACUGGGCGUAAAGCGUGCGUAGUCGGCUUCUUAAGUCGGAUGUGAAAUCCCUGAGCUUAACUUAGGAAUUGCAUUCGAUACUGGGAAGCUAGAGUAUGGGAGAGGAUGGUAGAAUUCCAGGUGUAGCGGUGAAAUGCGUAGAGAUCUGGAGGAAUACCGAUGGCGAAGGCAGCCAUCUGGCCUAAUACUGACGCUGAGGUACGAAAGCAUGGGGAGCAAACAGGAUUAGAUACCCCCGUAGUCCCUGUCUCUUAUAC